RNAcentral lists this non-coding RNA (24 nucleotides) under Bos taurus (domestic cattle). Lineage: Eukaryota; Metazoa; Chordata; Mammalia; Artiodactyla; Bovidae. RNAcentral also lists the same sequence under 4 other names. The record is from RNAcentral.
UCGCCUGCCACGCGGGAGGCCCGG